Molecule: ribosomal RNA, 1431 nt
Filed under: uncultured organism
Description: 16S ribosomal RNA
Rfam family: Bacterial small subunit ribosomal RNA
Source: RNAcentral
GAUGAACGCUAGCGGCAGGCUUAACACAUGCAAGUCGAGGUGCAGCACAGGUAGCACUACCGGGUGGCGACCGGCGCACGGGUGAGUAACGCGUAUGCAACUUGCCUAUCAGAGGGGGAUAACCCGGCGAAAGUCGGACUAAUACCGCAUGAAGCAGGGGCCCCGCAUGGGGAUAUUUGCUAAAGAUUCAUCGCUGAUAUAUAGGCAUGCGUUCCAUUACGCAGUUGGCGGGCUAACGGCCCACCAAACCGACUAUGGAUAGGGGUUCUGACAGGAAGGUCCCCCACAUUGGUACUGAGACACGCACCCAACUCCUACGGGAGGCAGCAGUGAGCGAAUAUUGGUCAAUGGCCGACAGGCUGAACCAGCCAAGUCGCGUGAGGGAUGAAGGUUCUAUGGAUCGUAUCCCUCUUUUAUAAGGGAAUAAAGAGCGGGACGUGUCCCGUUUUGUAUGCACCUUAUGAAUAACGAUCGGCUAACUCCGUGCCAGCAGCCGCGGUAAUACGGAGGAUCCGAGCGUUAUCCGGAUUUAUUGGGUUUAAAGGGUGCGUAUGCGGCCUUUUAAGUCAGCGGUGAAAGUCUGUGGCUCAACCCUAAAAUUGCCCGUUGAAACUGGGGGGCUUGAGUAUGUUUGAGGCAGGCGGAAUGCGUGGUGUACCGGUGAAAUGCAUAGAUAUCACGCAGAACCCCGAUUGCGAAGGCAGCCUGCCAAGCCAUUACUGACGCUGAUGCACGAAAGCGUGGGGAUCAAACAGGAUUAGAUACCCUGGUAGUCCACGCAGUAAACGAUGAUCACUAGCUGUUUGCGAUACACUGUAAGCGGCACAGCGAAAGCGUUAAGUGAUCCACCUGGGGAGUACGCCGGCAACGGUGAAACUCAAAGGAAUUGACGGGGGCCCGCACAAGCGGAGGAACAUGUGGUUUAAUUCGAUGAUACGCGAGGAACCUUACCCGGGUUUGAACGCAUUCGGACCGAGGUGGAAACACCUUUUCUAGCAAUAGCCGUUUGCGAGGUGCUGCAUGGUUGUCGUCAGCUCGUGCCGUGAGGUGUCGGCUUAAGUGCCAUAACGAGCGCAACCCUUGCCACUAGUUACUAACAGGUAAAGCUGAGGACUCUGGUGGGACUGCCAGCGUAAGCUGCGAGGAAGGCGGGGAUGACGUCAAAUCAGCACGGCCCUUACAUCCGAGGCGACACACGUGUUACAAUGGCGUGGACAAAGGGAAGCCACCUGGCGACAGGGAGCGAAUCCCCAAACCACGUCUCAGUUCGGAUCGGAGUCUGCAACCCGACUCCGUGAAGCUGGAUUCGCUAGUAAUCGCGCAUCAGCCAUGGCGAGGUGAAUACGUUCCCGGGCCUUGUACACACCGCCCGUCAAGCCAUGGGAGCCGGGGGUACCUGAAGUCCGUAACCGCGAGGAUCGGCCUAGGGUA